Molecule: long non-coding RNA, 1141 nt
Organism: Ostrinia furnacalis (Asian corn borer)
Lineage: Eukaryota; Metazoa; Arthropoda; Insecta; Lepidoptera; Crambidae
Exons: 4
Source: RefSeq, a predicted model, not a curated record
UGAACACCGUCAUCAUCAUCAUAAUUUAGUUGGACUACGUAUCUUUCUGGGCGAAGAAACACUUAAUUCUACAGAUUUUCUGCAAAACUGAUAUUGAAGUGUACACGUCAUGGGCAAUGAACCACAAAAUGGCGGAGUCGAUUAGCAAGCUCAACUGGCAGUUGAGUGUUGGGCGGAUACUGAAGUGAACACGUCAUGUGUCAUGGGCAAUUAACCACAAAAUGGCGGAGUGAAAUUAAGAAGCUCAACUGGCAGACUGGAGUACUGAAGUGAACACGUCAUGGGCAAUGAACGACAAAAUGGCGGAGUGAAUUAGCAAGCUCAACUGUUGGGUUGUAACUCCUUACGGAUGGCUGAGGAGUGAAAAGGUCUUGAAUAGAUACCAUUUGGUAAACACGCUGGACCUGACCUGGUGGACUUGGUAAACCUGGUGGGAAUCAAGCUGACGGUGGACCUAAUAAUCCUUGCGGGAUUCAAGCUGACGGUAGACCUGGUACUCCUGGUGGGAUUCAAGUUGACGGUGGACCUGGUAAUCCUUGUGGGAUUCAAGUUGACGGUGGACCUGGUAAUCCUUGUGGGAUUUAAGCUGACGGUGGACCUGGUAAUCCUUGUGGGAUUCAAGCUGACGAUGGACCUGGUAAUCCUUGUGGGAUUCGAGCUGACCUUGUGAUCCUGGUACUCCUGGUGGGAUUCAAGCUGACAGAGGAUCUGGUACUUCUGGUGGGAUUCGAGCUGACCUUAUGGACCUGGUACUCCUGGUGGGUCGAGCUGACGGAGGACCUGGUACUCCUGGUGGGAUUCGAGCUGACCUUGUGGACCUGGUACUCCUGGUGGGAUUCAAGCUGAAAUGGUAGACCUGGUAGUCCUGGUGGGAUUCAAGCUGACCUGACCUGUUGGACCUGGUAAUCCUGUACGGAUUCCAAGCGACCUUCGGUUCCUUUGUUACCGUGUGGAGGAAGUUUUAUGCUGACUUUUUAAGGAUAAUUAUGACGAUUUUUUAAUUAUUUUAAACAUACCUACUUGUUAAUCUUUUCCACUACAUACAUUGUUAGAUAGUGCCGUGCGGUUACGGCCGUAAAGAAUACUAUUCCCCACUGCCAAUAGGUAUUAAUGUAGCACGAGAUGGCAAUUAAAAAUACAA